RNAcentral lists this ribosomal RNA (853 nucleotides) under uncultured organism. RNAcentral's name for it is "bacterial SSU rRNA". It matches the Rfam family "Bacterial small subunit ribosomal RNA", at positions 44 to 885 of the family's 1533-position model. The record is from RNAcentral.
AGGCCUAACACAUGCAAGUCGAGGGGUAACGAUGGCUUCGGCCAGGCGACGACCGGCGCACGGGUGAGUAUCGCGUUUGUAACCUACCUCUGACUGGAGGAUAGCCCGAAGAAAUUCGGAUUAAUACUCCAUAAUACUAUGGACAGGCAUCUGUUCAUGGUUAAAGCCCCGGCGGUCAGAGAUGGGCAUGCGUGACAUUAGCUUGUUGGUGAGGUAACAGCUCACCAAGGCUACGAUGUCUAGGGGGUCUGAGAGGAUGGUCCCCCACACUGGUACUGAGACACGGACCAGACUCCUACGGGAGGCAGCAGUGAGGAAUAUUGGUCAAUGGGCGAAAGCCUGAACCAGCCAUGCCGCGUGAAGGAUGACAGCCCUAUGGGUUGUAAACUUCUUUUGUACGGGAAGAAACGCUUCUACGUGUAGAGGUUUGACGGUACCGUACGAAUAAGCAUCGGCUAACUCCGUGCCAGCAGCCGCGGUAAUACGGAGGAUGCAAGCGUUAUCCGGAUUUAUUGGGUUUAAAGGGUACGUAGGCGGGAGCUUAAGUCAGUGGUGAAAUCCUGCAGCUUAACUGUAGAACUGUCAUUGAUACUGGGCUUCUUGAAUGUAGUUGAGGUAGGCGGAAUGUGUAAUGUAGCGGUGAAAUGCUUAGAUAUUACACAGAACACCGAUUGCGAAGGCAGCUUACUAAACUACGAUUGACGCUGAGGUAACGAAAAGCCGUUGGGGGAGCCGAAACAGCGAUUUAGAAUUACCCUGGGGUAGUCCACGCUGUAAACGAUGAUCACUCGUUGUUGGCAAUACACCGUCAGCGACUGAGCGAAAGNCUUAGUGAUCCANCUGGGGAGUACGA